AUACGUAGGGGACGAGCGUUGUCCGGAAUUACUGGGCGUAAAGGGAGCGUAGGUGGACAGUUAAGUCAGUUGUGAAAGUUUGCGGCUCAACCGUAAAAUUGCAGUUGAUACUGGCUGUCUUGAGUACAGUAGAGGUGGGCGGAAUUCGGGGUGUAGGGGGGAAAUGCUUAGAUAUCACGAAGAACUCCGAUUGCGAAGGCAGCUCACUGGACUGCAACUGACACUGAUGCUCGAAAGUGUGGGUAUCAAACAGGAUUAGAUACCCUGGUAGUCCACACAGUAAACGAUGAAUACUCGCUGUUUGCGAUAUACAGUAAGCGGCCAAGCGAAAGCAUUAAGUAUUCCACCUGGGGAGUACGCCGGCAACGGUGAAACUCAAAGGAAUUGACGGGG
RNAcentral lists this ribosomal RNA (393 nucleotides) under uncultured bacterium. RNAcentral's name for it is "partial 16S ribosomal RNA". It matches the Rfam family "Bacterial small subunit ribosomal RNA", at positions 523 to 918 of the family's 1533-position model. The record is from RNAcentral.